CAUAUCAUUGCUCUUUUACUGAUUUGUCUAGGUUUGUAAGUUUCCAGUAAAUGUAAUAUUCAGAGCACAUUAUCAAUACAACUUUGUGGUGUGUUGUGUAGACUGUGUAACUUACAGUGGUUUCACACUGACGGUGAACAAUGUAGCUUUUAAUGAAAUCCAUGACUCUGAGGAGCCACUUUUGCCUUGGCGUCAGGCGUUUGUUGCCACUCCCACUGGGCUCUGGUUUCAGCAACCUGCAGUACUGGGUUCGUAGGGAUACUGCCCUUGUCUUGACAUCCUCAACUGAAAAGGUAAAACAAGAAAGAAAGUGUUUUGUUGUUAGUUGUUCUGUACUCCAGAAUUGUAUUUGUGUUUUUCAAACCGUCUUUAGAACCCGGAAAUGCUUGGUGGUGCUUGCGGUAUUAUUUCAACUCAAUGAAGAAAUUGUGGGCAAAGAAAUUUAGUUUUUAACCUGUUUGGAACUACCAGCUCUCUGUUCCUAUUUCCAAGAAUCAUAAAUAAUGAAUUUGAUUUGAAUCAGGUAUAACUUUCACCAUUGGCCUACAUAUUUCUAGUCUCUGUCAAAAGCUAAAGAAUAUGAAUAUAUUGUAAAUAAAUGGAGAUGAAAUAAAGGAAAAUAUUAUAUUUUCAUCUACGACUAGAAACAAAUCUCAAUUUCAAAGGCAAUAUCACCAUUACAAUCAUGAUCCUGCAUAUUUUAAUGCAACUUUGACACCACGUGAUGUCGAGUCGGCCGACCGUCCCAGAUAUUUAACAUGCCAGAUAUCUGGAUUUUGUCUGCGAGGUGUCUCCGAGCCUCUUUGAUGCAUCGUUGAGUAGUUCACACAAAGAUUGCUGAGCGCCGAUCACCCGCUGAUUUUCCCACGAUCACAACCCGAUCUGUCGACGAGCUCGUUAAUUUGCAAAUCGGGCUUAAAUCGUGCUUAAAAUCCUGUAGAGUGAACUAGGCUUAACACAGCCUAAUCGAAUAUGAACAUCCUACAGUAUGAACACAUACCCAAGAAUGACAUUUACUGUUUUUUAGUAAAUGGUUUGGGAAUUUUCUGUAUUGCUUCCACUCUACCUGACUCAAGUCUUUUACCUUCUGCAGAAAUUAAAUGUCCUAGGAACUUCACUUCUUGUUGUACAAAUUGCAGUUUUGACAGGCUUGCUUUAUGUCCUUCUUUAGCGAGGUGACAGAGCAAUUUAAUGGUGUCUUUUUCACACCGCUCUUUAGUAGGUGCGGCCAAAAGAAUGUCAUCUACAUACUGAAGCAACACAGAUUUCUCAGUUAGCUGCAGUGUAUCUAAACUGUUCUUUAAUGCUUCAUUAUAGAUUGUAGGUGACUCACAAUAGCCCUGACAUAAACGUGUGAAAGUAUAGGCUUUUCCAUUAAAGGAAUAUGCAACCCAAAAUUGACAAUCUGGAUGUACCGGUACGCUAAAGAGUGUAUUAGCCAUAUAGACAACAGAGAACCAUGCACUGUCAACUGGAAUUUAGGACAAGAUAGUGUAUGGGUUAGGAACAUUAGGUGCUUGUUGGAUUACAGCAUCAUUACCCAUUUCUAAGUCUUGUACGAAUCUCCGCUCCCCUGGAGCUCUUAUUUUCCUUACUGGGAAGAGUGGUGUUCACACAGGAGACAUCUCACAUGGCACUCACAGAUUUUAAUAGAGAAUUAAACACCGGUGUUAUUCCUGCUAUAGCUUCUGGUUUUAGGGGAUAUUGAGCUCUCUUCGGCCUAUAAUCCGAUUUUGGAGGGCAAUUUUAAUCAGCCCUACAUCAUAUUUUCCACUCGCCCACAAUUCCUCGGGCACUUUUUGAAGCCGCACACCUGAAAGUUCCAAUUUAGGUAGGGCCAAGUCGGUUUUGUACCAUGGGUUGGGAUCUGUCAUCAGGAAGGAUCACCACGCCUCUCUCAGCUCUAGCCAGCCAAUUUAGUGCUGUGCUAUAUGGAUUUAAUUUUGGGCUGUAAAGAACAGCUGGCUGCUCAGUUGGUUCCCAAUCAUGACUUUGAGUAGCCUGUAACAUCCAUUCUCCCAAAAAUUCCCACUCGUCAUUGACAGAUUUGGCUAGAGAGAGAUGUGGAGAUCCAUGAUUCAUUUGGAAUGGGUGUGGAUGACCAGCCCGAAUUACCCCGAGAUAAAUCUACCUCUACAGCACAUCUGUGUUCAUUCCAUAUCACACGCUUCAAUAUCAAUAUGUCUGGCCUAUCUAACUUCCUGUACCAUUCUUUCUCAUAACUCUCAUGUGGUUCGUAUCUGUGUAUGUGCGCAGUACAGUGCAGCGCUUUCGGUGUCAUGUAGUCUGUGAGAGAAAAGGAGGUGAGAGUUUUUGCUUUCUCUACUAGAGAGUGUGUGACAUCAGUGAAAGAAGAAUUACUCCGUUUCCAUUCAUACACAUAGAGCAGGGGUCUGGGAUCAUAUUUUACAAAGCAGGAGUUAUCUCCCCAUUCUAUCCUAAGGCCUAGUCAUGUGCUGAUCAAAUUUAUAUUUAGUUUGCAUGUCAAAUCUCGACCCAACAGAUUUAUUGGGCAACACUCAGAAAUUAAAAAUAAGUAUUCAAAUUGUUUCUGUCUACCUACUAUCUCACAUUUUAUGGGCACAGAGAAUGUCUCAAUUAUUGACAUCCCUGAUGCUCCUGUAGUACACAGAGAGUGAUUGCUCAUUCUAGGUGAAAUAGAAAAUUCACACAAUCGUAUCACAGAAUGCCCCGCUCCUGAGUCAACUAGAAACCGUAUGAGCAUUUGCUCAAGAAGUAAUGUAAUCACAGGCAUAUUCCGGUUCAGUCAACGCAAAAUCAACAAAAUCGCAGUUUUCCAGCAGAUUUGGGCCAAGACGUGUUGUAUCACAACAAGCAUCAAGUCAAAGCCCGCUUCGAUUUUUGUGCAUCGAACAUGAGCACAGCCUUCAGUGAAAGUAAUCAUACCUUUGUUUUCACUCUUAGAAGUUUAAAAGGAGAAUCAUGUGUUGUGGGAAAACAAUUUAACAACCAAAUUCAUUAAAACAUUCAAUAACUUAUCAAAAUAUACCUUUGAGCCUAAUGUAACGUAUAGAUGCCUCAGAAAACUCAUACAUAUUAUUUUGUUAAAUUUAUAUGCAGGUACAUAGACAUAUAUUUAAACCUAACAUAGAUCUAUAAUAUUGAUUAUAUCCAAUGAGCGCAAACAGAAUGUCUCAAAAAAUACAAAAUAAAAUCUAUCGCGAUACCACAAAGUCUAAAAGACCAGAAGGGGGGAAAAAAGUACUGGUGCACGUGUUAAAAACUCAAAAUGGCGGCUGAAUACUCAAACUGGCGGCCGAAUACUCAAAAUGGCGGCCGAAUACUCAAAAUGGCGGCCGAACCAAAUAGACAACAUACACUUAAGAAGUGUUAUUUUAAAACACUGGCAAACAAUAAUAUAUCUGACCUGGACUCAGUAUUUCAGUUUGAUAAACAUUUUUCUCAUGUCAAUCAACAAACCAUACAUGACAUACAGUUAAACUCACUCUUCAGCUGCUUUUAUAAUCCUCAGUGAAGUAAAACACUUUCGUUUUGAUUAGACACACUUCAGAACUCACUGUAUUACAUAUUUAGAUACACGUGAGUACAAUGAAGUUAACAUUUUUAAUGAAUUAUAUUCAUACCUGUGAAAAACACAAGUUACAUCUUUCCACAGCGGCAGCCCGAGCCCGCCAACCGGAGAUAAGCAAUUCCCUCGGGUCUUUCAUGGGCGCGUGAUCGCCAUCUAUUGGCGCGGCGGUGUAAUGCCACAAAAGAUAUUUACCUAGAAUUUAUUUUAUUUUUCUAUUUAUCUAGAAAAGUUCUCAUUUUGAGAAAAAAAAGAUGCACACACCCAUACACAUUUAAUUUUGGGGGUGGGAAUUACUGUUUUAAUUAAACUCAGAUUAUAUUUUCUCACCACAUUACAGAUACAUGGUCUAUGUUUUGAGUAUAAUUUCUCAAUACUUUGUUCACCCAUGUAACCAGCUAAGAAUAUAUAGUAUAUCUGCAUUACAUACAGGCCCUGUGCUGAAUUUAUAAACUGCACAGAUGGCCUGUUUGCACUUACAGAGUGCAGUUAGGUCAUUCAAUACAUCUGCUGCAGGCACUGAAAGACAAGAAGGUCCAGGUGGAGGAAAAGAAGCCCCUACACUUCCUUUAUAGGGUGGAGAAACCGGUCCCUCGUCCCCCAACGCCCACGGUGGACGUGCCUCCUGAGGGAGACGAGGAAAAGGAGCUUGCUGUGAUUUUCCUACAGAAGUUGCUCCGUGGCAGAUCCAUCCAGAACCAGAUGCUGGAAGGUCUAGAGAAGCACCAGGAGCUGAUCCAGGAGCUGCGCAUGAACCACACCUUACAGCGGGAGGAGCAAGAACUCCAGAGAGAAGAGAAACAGGUCACACAGGCCCUGCAGAGACAGAUAGAGCAGAGUAAGUACAUAAACAGCCUGUUCAUUUAACACUUUCUCUGUGAGCCAUGCUGCAUGAUGUGCGUGACUGCAACAGUGAAAAGGAUAACUGACCUCUGCUCCAGUUCUAUUUCGUUGCAAAGCAUUCCUGAUCUAAAUUUGUGGGAUAUGACACAAAUACACACCCUCAUAUCUAAGGAUAUGAGGGUGAAAGUAAAAUGUAUCCUCUGAUUUUUAUCACUGCAAGUCUCCAGUCGCUGCACUCACUAGAAUUCGACUUGUCAACAAAUUCGUUUUCUAGUCAAUAAAAUAAAUCAUUUUAUUUUCAUCAUGCUGGAAGUGGUUUGAGCCUCUUAGUUCAAGGAAAAUUGUAAUGCAACAGAAUACAAAGACCUAUUAUACAAAUGUGUGUUUCCAACCUUGUGGCUAAAAGAACCACAUGGAUGUGAUGGUCAGGUGUCCAGAAAUGUUUGGCCAUAUAGUGUAUAGUUUCUAACUGACAUUAUUAUAUUCAUAUAUUUUUUUUCUUGGACACUGUUGUGUUUACUGAACUGUUUUCCUGUGAUAAACAGGUGACAUGUGGAGACUUUUAAAUACCAGAAUCAGCCACCAAAUAAAACAGUUUAUAUAACAACAUGUACAUUUUUAAAGUAAUGUAUAAAUUAUGUAUAAAUUGGUUAUACUACACUUUCUGGUUUCCUGCUUUCUAAUCCCACACCUGAUGCCUCAGGUCUGAUGCCUUUUGAAUAAAAAUGUGAAUAUAUAUGGUUUGAAUUUUCAUGUGCAUGAAAACUAAACAACUUGAGUAACUGCCUGUCUCCUAGAAUCUCCUCCAUGCUCUUGAGACUGUGCUGAGAGACACAGCAAACCUUCUGGCACUGGCACAUAUUGAAGUGCCAUCCUGGAGGAGUUGUACUGCCUGUGCAACCUCUGUAGGGUCCAGGUAUCACCUCAUGCUACUAGUAGUAAUACUGACCCUAGACAAAGCUAAUGCUAAGCUAGUGAAAAACAGUCAAAAAGGAUGAGCAGGGAAAUAAUGUCAGUGGCCUCCACUUGUAAAACCAUUCAUGUUGUGGGGGUCGUCUCAUUGUUGCCCAUCUAGUGCACCUGUUGUUAAUUUCAUUAACACCAAAGCAGCUGAAACUGAUUAACAAUCUCCUCUGCUACUUAACUGACCAGAUCAAUAUCCCAGGAGUUUAAUUGAUUUGAUGCUAUACUCUUAUUUACACAGAACUACAAAUUACAAAUAGAUUUAACUCAUGGCAGAACAAAUGAAAGUGCCACAAUGCUGUAUUUUAAUUAGCCAACUGGCUAGUUCCAUCUGCUGUCACUGGGCAACACAGAUUUUAUGACCAUUGUUACGUGCCUGAUCAAGAAUCAAGACAAAUGGUCUCAAAACCACAUUUGACUAGACUCUCGAAUUAUCACACAGACCUGGUUCUCCCCCGGGGUCUCUUCCCGGUGGGGCAUGCCCGGAACACCACCCCAGGGAGACGUCCAGGAGGAAUCCAAUACAGAUGCCUGAGCCACCUCAUCUGGCACCUUUCGAUGUGGAGGAGCAGCGGCUCUACUCCGAGCUCCUCCCGGGUGACAGAGGUCCUUACCUGUCUCUGGUACCUGUACCUGGGAGUACCCUGCCACCCUACGGAGGAAACUCAUUUCAGCCGCUUGAAUCCAGGAUUGCGUCUUUUUGGUUAUGACCCAAAGCUCAUGACCAUAGGUGAGAACGUAGAUCCACUGGUAAAUCACCACAAUAGACCGGUACAUAGACCGCAUUACUGCUGCCGCUGCACCGAUCCGUCUGUCAAUCUCAUGCUCCAUCCUUCCCUCACUUGUAAACAAGCUCCCUGACCUGCACUCAAUCUACAACAAGCGGUGCUGGACCAAGGCCAGGAAGAUCAUGAAGGACCUCAGCCACCCCAACAAUGGACCUUUCUCCCUGUUGAGGUCAGGGAAGCGCUUCCGCUCCCUGAACACCAACACAGAGAGACUGAGGAGAAGCUUCUUCCCACAGGCUAUACGUUCUCUCAACCAGAACUCCACAUAGGACUCAACUGAUUGGACUUGCAAUGCUUCCUACACACGUAUUGGAAACACCAAACCCUACCAUACAUUUGCACAUUACAGGACUGUGACACACAAUACAUAAACAUAUAUGGCACAUAUAUGGGACAUUCUGGUCCCGUUUAUACACAAAGAGGACUUGUGCACAUCUAUGCUUUAAGAUGGACAAUACCACUGCUUUCAUCAUCUCAUCACCUUAUUUCACUGAAUGACCACCCCAUACUGCUGCUGUCUGCACGUUGCACAUUGUUGCA
Hemibagrus wyckioides is the source of this 6684-nucleotide long non-coding RNA. RefSeq lists it as uncharacterized. The record is from RefSeq and is a predicted model, not a curated record. NCBI's taxonomy places the organism in Eukaryota, Metazoa, Chordata, Actinopteri, Siluriformes, Bagridae. The transcript is spliced from 3 exons.